Seriola aureovittata is the source of this 590-nucleotide long non-coding RNA. RefSeq lists it as uncharacterized. NCBI's taxonomy places the organism in Eukaryota, Metazoa, Chordata, Actinopteri, Carangiformes, Carangidae. The record is from RefSeq and is a predicted model, not a curated record. The transcript is spliced from 4 exons.
UCGUUUCUUCAACCGGAAGUGAUCGUCAGCACCUGUGUUUAAUUAGCCUAAUUGAAUCCACAUGCUACAAACCUGGAGACAAAGCACUAGGAUGGUGAUGGAUUCCCCUGCAGAUGUUGGCAAGGACCCUUCUGCUGACGAGAUGAGGGUAUCUGUAAAUGGAUUUCCUCCUGGCUGGCGGUCUGACCCCGGUCCUCCUCCUGUGACCCCGUGGAUGAUUGCUGUGACUGAGACGUGUUUGAUCCCUGCACUGAUGCUGGGCUUUUGAUGGCUGCCCCACUUUGAUGCCACGACAAGAUUGAAUCCAACCACCCUCUGUGAAACACACACACACAGCUUCAUCUUUGCGCACACUGAGCGGGAAGUUCACACACGCCCAGAUCUCCUUUCAACCCUCCCGUCCCGCCCCGGGUUCAUGAGAGAAAUCACAGUCCCACCGUGAUCUUACGCAACGCUCGGCCGUAAUAAGCUUGAAGUGAGUUUUUAAACAUACCUGUCACAACACAAACACACUCAUCCUCCGACCUCUCCAUCCCUCGCUCUCUCUCUCUCUCUCUCUCUCUCUCUCUCUCUCUCUCUCUCUCUCUCUC